This 446-nucleotide ribosomal RNA is filed under the name uncultured bacterium. RNAcentral's name for it is "bacterial SSU rRNA". It matches the Rfam family "Bacterial small subunit ribosomal RNA", at positions 60 to 496 of the family's 1533-position model. The record is from RNAcentral.
AGUCGAGGGGCAGCAUGAACUUAGCUUGCUAAGUUUGAUGGCGACCGGCGCACGGGUGAGUAACACGUAUCCAACCUGCCGAUGACUCGGGGAUAGCCUUUCGAAAGAAAGAUUAAUACCCGAUGGCAUAGUUCUUCCGCAUGGUAGAACUAUUAAAGAAUUUCGGUCAUCGAUGGGGAUGCGUUCCAUUAGGUUGUUGGCGGGGUAACGGCCCACCAAGCCUUCGAUGGAUAGGGGUUCUGAGAGGAAGGUCCCCCACAUUGGAACUGAGACACGGUCCAGACUCCUACGGGAGGCAGCAGUGAGGAAUAUUGGUCAAUGGACGCAAGUCUGAACCAGCCAUGCCGCGUGCAGGAUGACGGCUCUAUGAGUUGUAAACUGCUUUUGUACGAGGGUAAACGCAGAUACGUGUAUCUGUCUGAAAGUAUCGUACGAAUAAGGAUCGG